GAGAUCGGUCGGACGAUCGCGGAAUAGUAUCUUUCUGGUACGAAUUCGAGGAAAGUCCGGGCUCCAUUGGACAGGCUGCCAGGUAACACCUGGGCACAGGCGGCGUGAGCUGCUUACGUGACGGACAGUGCCACAGAGAACAGACCGCCACUUCGGUGGUAAGGGUGAAAAGGUGGGGUAAGAGCCCACCGCGCGCGUGGUGACAUGCGUGGCACGGCAAACCCCGGCUGGAGCAAGGCCAAAUAUGCGGCGAGGAGCGUCCACUCCGAAUAAAACGCCGCGGGUAGGCUGCUGGAGAGUGCGGGUGACCGUACUCCUAGAGAAAUGAUCGUCCGGAUCUUCGGGUCCGACAGAACCCGGCUUACAGACCGAUCGCUUGC
This 380-nucleotide RNase P RNA is filed under the name Gemmatimonadaceae bacterium. RNAcentral's name for it is "RNase P RNA component class A". It matches the Rfam family "Bacterial RNase P class A". Rfam says of the family: Ribonuclease P (RNase P) is a ubiquitous endoribonuclease, found in archaea, bacteria and eukarya as well as chloroplasts and mitochondria. Its best characterised activity is the generation of mature 5'-ends of tRNAs by cleaving the 5'-leader elements of precursor-tRNAs. Lineage: Bacteria; Pseudomonadati; Gemmatimonadota; Gemmatimonadia; Gemmatimonadales; Gemmatimonadaceae. The record is from RNAcentral.